AGUAAAAGUCGUAACAAGGUUUCCGUAGGUGAACCUGCGGAAGGAUCAUUACCGAGUGAGGGCCCUUUGGGUCCAACCUCCCACCCGUGUUUAUUUUACCUUGUUGCUUCGGCGGGCCCGCCUUUACUGGCCGCCGGGGGGCUCACGCCCCCGGGCCCGCGCCCGCCGAAGACACCCCCGAACUCUGUCUGAAGAUUGAAGUCUGAGUGAAAAUAUAAAUUAUUUAAAACUUUCAACAACGGAUCUCUUGGUUCCGGCAUCGAUGAAGAACGCAGCGAAAUGCGAUACGUAAUGUGAAUUGCAAAUUCAGUGAAUCAUCGAGUCUUUGAACGCACAUUGCGCCCCCUGGUAUUCCGGGGGGCAUGCCUGUCCGAGCGUCAUUGCUGCCCUCAAGCCCGGCUUGUGUGUUGGGCCCCGUCCUCCGAUUCCGGGGGACGGGCCCGAAAGGCAGCGGCGGCACCGCGUCCGGUCCUCGAGCGUAUGGGGCUUUGUCACCCGCUCUGUAGGCCCGGCCGGCGCUUGCCGAUCAACCCAAAUUUUUAUCCAGGUUGACCUCGGAUCAGGUAGGGAUACCCGCUGAACUUAAGCAUAUCAAUAAGCGGAGGA
Molecule: ribosomal RNA, 606 nt
Filed under: uncultured fungus
Lineage: Eukaryota; Fungi
Description: eukaryotic LSU rRNA
Rfam family: 5.8S ribosomal RNA (bases 228-380)
Source: RNAcentral